This 80-nucleotide transfer RNA is filed under the name Ictidomys tridecemlineatus (thirteen-lined ground squirrel). RNAcentral describes it as "Spermophilus tridecemlineatus (thirteen-lined ground squirrel) tRNA". It matches the Rfam family "tRNA". From Rfam's summary of the family: Transfer RNA (tRNA) molecules are approximately 80 nucleotides in length. Their secondary structure includes four short double-helical elements and three loops (D, anti-codon, and T loops). Further hydrogen bonds mediate the characteristic L-shaped molecular structure. tRNAs have two regions of fundamental functional importance: the anti-codon, which is responsible for specific mRNA codon recognition, and the 3' end, to which the tRNAs corresponding amino acid is attached (by aminoacyl-tRNA synthetases). tRNAs cope with the degeneracy of the genetic code in two manners: having more than one tRNA (with a specific anti-codon) for a particular amino acid; and 'wobble' base-pairing, i.e. permitting non-standard base-pairing at the 3rd anti-codon position. Lineage: Eukaryota; Metazoa; Chordata; Mammalia; Rodentia; Sciuridae. The record is from Rfam by way of RNAcentral.
GGAGUUGUAGCUCAGCGGUAGAGCACUUGCCUCAUACGUGUGAGUUCGAUUCCUAGCACUGGGUUCGAUUCCUAGCACCA